AUGAAUAAUUCAGACAAGAAGUCGGUAUGCUCCAUUCCUAGAAGAUCAUCAGAACGGAGGAAACAGUCCUCUUCUGAGUUGGUUUCUUCAGCUAAAAGGCCAACUCGCCACAAUACCUCCAGCAGUUAUAAGCCAGAUCAUUGUUCUCCUCCCAAGAGAACAGUAAGAACAGUCAGGAAUGUUAAUCUGGCAAAAUAUAUAAAGAACAAGUAUUAUCGAAGUCCUCUGAGCAAGCGGCAGUCUUCAAAUGCUGCUACUGGAAAAAGUGCAACAGGACCAGUCAGGAGGAGGAACCGGAAACGGAGAAGGCACAAUACUGAUUGUGAUGAGGCAACUCGCAUGGAAAGAAGGGCGAGAUAUUUGCUGGUCAAAAUAAAAUCGGAGCAGAAUUUAAUAGAUGCAUACUCUGGAGAUGGCUGGAAUGGGCACAGCCGAGAGAAAUUAAAGCCAGAGAAGGAGCUACAGCGUGCUAAGAGACAGAUCAUUAAAUGCAAAAUUGCUAUCCGUGAUAUUAUCCAUCAACUUGAUUUGUAUAGUUCUAGUGGGAGCAUGGAAGAUUCCGUGAUGCCUCCAGAUGAGUCUGUUAAGUCUGUUAACCCUGAUAAUACUAUAUGUUCAAGAUGCAAGUCUCCUGAAUCAGUUCCCAACAAUAAAUUUAUCUUCUGUGAAGGGGCCUGCAAAAUGGCGUACCAUGAGAAAUGUUCAGAACCUCCUCUAGACAGAAGUCUUCCUACUGGUGGUCCUGGAUGGCUUUGUAAAUUCUGCUUGUGCAAGAUGAAAAUUUUAGAAGCUGUAAAUGCACAUUUGGGAACUAGCCUUACAGUGAUGUGUCCCUCUAAAGAUAUUUUUAAGGAAGCAACUAAAGAGGUGGACUCUGAGGAUGGACUAGGAGAGGAUUGGUUAUCUGAGUAUUCAGGUGAUGAGGACUAUGACCCUGAAGAAAAUGACUUCACAAGCAGCAGCCUGGAUAGUGGUGAAGAAAGUAUAUCUGAUCAGUCCAAUUGUUCAGGAAGUCCGCUUUAUUCUCCAAACGAUGAUAUUCCAGGCUUUAUAUCAGCAGAUUUCACUGAUGCGGAAGGAUUCUACCACACCAAUUCAAAUUUAGGAAUUGAUUCUGGGGAUGAUGAUGUUGCCGAGAUGCUUACCUACCAAAGGCCAAAGAGAGAGGUUGAUUAUAAAAGACUUAAUGAGGAAAUGUUUGGAAAGCUGACUGAGAAUGAAAAGCAGAGUGAAGAUGAAGAUUGGGGUACUAAUAAUAGGAGAAAGAAAAGAAGAGUGCAUUCAGCUGGUGUUGGAGUUAAGUCUGCCGAGGGUUUGUCAGAUGUAAAAUCAAAUGAGAAAGCCCAACCGCAGAGGAGAAAACUCUUUAGAAUUNNNNNNNNNNNNNNNNAGGUACUACGCAAAUCUUUUGCUGAAAGUGAGCUUCCAGCCCGGGAGGUGAAAGAGAGUCUCUCAACAGAAUUGGGUAUUUCUUUUGAAAAGAUUGACAAGUGGUUCAAAAAUACAAGGUGUGCUGCUCUCAGAGAUCGGAAGGCUGAAGGAAAUAGUCGUGUUGCUGGUCCCAGCAAAAGAUCGAGACGGAGUGCAGGGAAAUCUGGAAGUUCAGUCAAGAUUGAUUCAGUGGACAAUUCAUAUCUUAUUCCCGCGUCUGAAAUCAUCAGUGUACCUACACAUCCACAAGGGAUUCCUGAGAGGAAGCCCGAAUCAACUAGUAGAACUGUGAGGAGGCUGGUACAUGAUAAAGGAGCUCCCUUGUGUCCGCCCGCCGAAGUCAAGGAGAGUACAUCACCUACAACCAAGCCUGGCUUGAAUCCUAGCCAUGUAGCAGAUCGCAUCAUCAACACCGAGCAUAGAGCUGCUUCUCGGGAGGCUCCAGUGGCCUUCUCGGAUGACCCUUUCUUCGAUGCAAUCCUAUCAUAUCCCACCAUCAACACCAAUGACAGAGCUGUUUCUCGGGAGGAUCCGGUGGCCUUCUCGGACGAUCCUUUCCUGGAUGUGAUGCUAGCAAACCGCGACAUCUAUACUGAGGAGAGAGGUGUUUCUCAUGAGGACGUGAAGCGGCCUUCUGGUGACCAGCCUUUCCUGGAUGUGAUCCAGAACGUGUGCGGGCUCGAGCAUAGGCUGCAGAGACUGAAGGGGGACAUGCUAUCAUCAGGAGCAGCACCAGGCGGCACUGGAACCGCGGAGCGUGACUUGCAGAACCAACUGGUGGUUCUCGUACCAACUGCCGAGCUGAAGGACAAAUCACAGCCUAGCAUCUGA
Molecule: ribosomal RNA, 2262 nt
Filed under: Triticum aestivum (bread wheat)
Lineage: Eukaryota; Viridiplantae; Streptophyta; Magnoliopsida; Poales; Poaceae
Description: partial small subunit ribosomal RNA
Source: RNAcentral